GACGAACGCUGGCGGCGUGCUUAACACAUGCAAGUCGAACGGAAAGGCCCUGCUUUUGUGGGGUGCUCGAGUGGCGAACGGGUGAGUAACACGUGAGUAACCUGCCCUUGACUUUGGGAUAACUUCAGGAAACUGGGGCUAAUACCGGAUAGGAGCUCCUGCUGCAUGGUGGGGGUUGGAAAGUUUCGGCGGUUGGGGAUGGACUCGCGGCUUAUCAGCUUGUUGGUGGGGUAGUGGCUUACCAAGGCUUUGACGGGUAGCCGGCCUGAGAGGGUGACCGGCCACAUUGGGACUGAGAUACGGCCCAGACUCCUACGGGAGGCAGCAGUGGGGAAUAUUGCACAAUGGGCGGAAGCCUGAGGCAGCAACGCCGCGUGCGGGAUAACGGCCUUCGGGUUGUAAACCGCUUUCGCCUGUGACGAAGCGUGAGUGACGGUAAUGGGUAAAGAAGCACCGGCUAACUACGUG
RNAcentral lists this ribosomal RNA (468 nucleotides) under uncultured bacterium. RNAcentral's name for it is "partial 16S ribosomal RNA". It matches the Rfam family "Bacterial small subunit ribosomal RNA", at positions 28 to 507 of the family's 1533-position model. The record is from RNAcentral.